Molecule: transfer RNA, 73 nt
Filed under: Polypterus senegalus senegalus (gray bichir)
Lineage: Eukaryota; Metazoa; Chordata; Cladistia; Polypteriformes; Polypteridae
Also listed under: 2 other names
Description: tRNA-Asn
Rfam family: tRNA
About the family: Transfer RNA (tRNA) molecules are approximately 80 nucleotides in length. Their secondary structure includes four short double-helical elements and three loops (D, anti-codon, and T loops). Further hydrogen bonds mediate the characteristic L-shaped molecular structure. tRNAs have two regions of fundamental functional importance: the anti-codon, which is responsible for specific mRNA codon recognition, and the 3' end, to which the tRNAs corresponding amino acid is attached (by aminoacyl-tRNA synthetases). tRNAs cope with the degeneracy of the genetic code in two manners: having more than one tRNA (with a specific anti-codon) for a particular amino acid; and 'wobble' base-pairing, i.e. permitting non-standard base-pairing at the 3rd anti-codon position.
Source: RNAcentral
UAGGUGGAAGCUUGCCGGUUAAAGCUUUUAGCUGUUAACUAAACGUAUGUAGGAUCGAGGCCUACCCAUCUAG